RNAcentral lists this ribosomal RNA (506 nucleotides) under uncultured bacterium. RNAcentral's name for it is "partial 16S ribosomal RNA". It matches the Rfam family "Bacterial small subunit ribosomal RNA", at positions 29 to 523 of the family's 1533-position model. The record is from RNAcentral.
AGUGAACGCUGGCGGUAGGCCUAACACAUGCAAGUCGAACGGUAGCACAGGAGAGCUUGCUCUCUGGGUGGCGGGUGGCGGACGGGUGAGGAAUACAUCGGAAUCUACUCUGUCGUGGGGGAUAACGUAGGGAAACUUACGCUAAUACCGCAUACGACCUACGGGUGAAAGCAGGGGACCUUCGGGCCUUGCGCGAUUGAAUGAGCCGAUGUCGGAUUAGCUAGUUGGCGGGGUAAAGGCCCACCAAGGCGACGAUCCGUAGCUGGUCUGAGAGGAUGAUCAGCCACACUGGAACUGAGACACGGUCCAGACUCCUACGGGAGGCAGCAGUGGGGAAUAUUGGACAAUGGGCGCAAGCCUGAUUCAGCCAUACCGCGUGGGUGAAGAAGGCCUUCGGGUUGUAAAGCCCUUUUGUUGGGAAAGAAAUCCAUCUGGUUAAUACCCGGGUGGGAUGACGGUACCCAAAGAAUAAGCACCGGCUAACUUCGUGCCAGCCGCCGCAGUAA